UGUGGCUUUACAACAUAUCUUUCAAUUCCAGUAUGAACACAUUCCUCUACUUAAACAAUAGUAUGCCAUAGUAGCAAAUAUAAAAUCAUGCUUGUGUCAAAAUAUAUUGAGGUAAAUUCACAUCAGUCGCAUAGAUGUCAAGGAAUUUCUUCACAAUUAAAGGUGGAUUGUUAAAUAGAAAAUGAGUACCGAAAUCCUAAGGAUACAAGUGUUCCAUCCAUAGUGCAAUUAAACUACUCCUUUACAGCUGGAAAUAUCUAAUUACAACUUUUUAUAAUACCAUUUUAAUAUUUCAAGAAUUUCGAUGAGAUGACUUAGUUGCCUUAAACAACGCUUCUCCUUCUUUAUAUUUUACAUCAUCUUAAAUUGGUUCCUUUCCUUUUAUGCUAGUUGGGAUAUUUUUAAAGAGUUCCUAUAUUGAAAAUGCUCAUAAAUGUCAUAUUUCCUAAUUAAAUUAAUCAAUCAUUUGCAAAGUAGGCAUGGCAUCAAAGAACAAACUGUAACGAACUUCAACAUCCCACGAUUUGUUCACAUGUAAUGCAUUAAUAACACGUUUUAAUAACCAUAUCAUCCUACUUGAAUUAGACACCUAAAAUUCUAAUUUCCUCCGAAUCCGUUCAGUAAGCUACUAAUCACUCUUUAAAAGCAAAGCUUAAUUAUUGUGAGCCUGUUUCAAUAUGCAUUUUAUGAAAGGAAAACAAAAGGAAGCGGAAUUGAUAGCUAAAUAAGUUUUAAAAUAUGGGAGAAACGGCAAUUCAUGAACUUGAUAUAAAGAAGGCUUAUGAAACUAAAUGUUGAGAUUUCCUUGAAUAUGUCAUGGAGAGGAUGAGAUUUUGGAGCCUAAAUACAUAGUUGGAUUUAAAGAUGUGUUAGGAUUUCAAUGGAAAGGGUUUAAAAUCAUAAUGUAGGAUCCCUUCCUUUAACUUAUUUAGGCCUUCAAUUGGUAGACAACCAAAUCUAGAAUCCUAACAAUAAAAAGUUUAAGAAAGGCAAUGAAAAGAAGGCAUCAACUUUUUAAAGAGAAGAGAUUCAUUUUUGUCAACAAAACCUCCUCCAACCUCCCAUUGUAUUGUAUAUCCCUUUUCUCCUCCUAUAUUUAAUGGCUAGUAUCUAGAGAAUGAACAAGACAAUACAAAGGGAGAAGCUUGAAUGCAUUCAAGAAGUAAAAAAGAGGAGUUAGGAUACAACUAAAGGAGAAUAGGGUGAUCAAGUAGCUCAUUUUCAGAGAUGAGAACACACAAGGAGUUCCCUUAUUCAUCCAAAGCACUUUUGAACAAGUCAUUACGGAAGGUUAAUUAUAAAAUAUCAAUUGUGGUGGUAUACUAAUGCUAAUUUGUAUAAUACAAAGCAUUGGAUUUUUGUACUAGGGUGAGUUUCCCAAGGGUGACAUCGGGGAAGUUUAUUUUAGAGCAAGAGGAUUUUUUUUCUCCUUUAUGCUUUUUGAGUCGAGGAAUGGGGAGUUAAUUUCAUUUGCACAUAAUAAAUAUGUGAUAAUCCCAUAUUUGGAGAGAUGGGAUCAUGCAAUUUAUUCCUUAUUCAUUGAACGCUCUUUUAAGUAGGUCAUUAUGAAAAAUCAUUCAAUAAGACAUCAAUGCUAGCUAUGUAUUAUUGCUUAUACAUUAGCUUUUUGAACUAAAAAUAUAUGCUCAUGCAGUGAAGUUAUGGCAGUCAAUUUCAAGGUGAGAAGUUUUCUUUUUCUCUCUUAUGCUUUUUGAAGCAAGAAGUUCCCUUUCAAUAUGACAAUUUGUGGAAACUUCCCUCUUUCUUGAACCUUCUUUUGUUGGAUAAAAAUAAAUAGAUUUCGGUUAGUUCAUGAUUGAAUCAGUAGAACAAAGAUACUACCAAGAUAGGAUAAUUGGCUAAACUUUCAAGAUUGACAUUUGGGACCUUAGUCAAUCUAUAAGGAGGAAUAAGCUAGCUAAAUGAUCGCCAACGCAUUUCAAGGAGAAUCAACGAGCUCUGGCUCCAGAUCAGAAAGAAAAUAUGGUGUUAAGUCUUUUUUUUAGGACAUCAAGCAACAAUUCGCAAUUUAAUGAGAAGCUUCAAUUCCAUGGAGAAGAAUUUGAAAGAUAAAAGGUUGUAUCUUAAAUAUCUUUGAUAUCAAGUCUUUUACUGUAAAUUAAGCAAUAAUUCCAAAUAUGUUGAUAAGCUUAAUUUUAAUUUUUCCACAUAAGCGAAUUUGGAAGAUAAAGGCUCCCUCUAAGGUAGUUUUCUUCAGAUGUAAUAUAGCAAAGGAGAGGCUAACAAUUUUCAAAAGGAAGUAAGAUAACAUAACGCCAUCAAAUCAAUGAGGCAUCUUUCAAUAUUAUUGGAAUUCAAUUAGAUAGUUACAAGAUGUUGCAUACUCAACGUUUGAGCAUUUCCCUCGUAGACAUGGAUGAUUAGGCAAAAUCAUUAGCUCGAAGAGAUUCUUUCGCACAUGAACAAAAGAGAAGCACUUAAAUUUUGAUCUUUCAAACGAGCGUCGAGCAAGGAAAUGGAAUUGAUAGGAUAGCUCUAAAAUGUUGCAUACUCAAUGUUUGAUAAUUUCUCUCAUAGACAUGGGUGAUUGUAGGCGGAAGAGCCUCUUUCGCAUUUGAGCAAAAGAGAAGCACUUAAAUUUUGAUCCUUCAAACUAGUGUCAAGGAAGGAAAGGAAUUCCUUCAAAAGGAAUUACGAGUCUCUUCCAUUCUUAGACAUACAAAAGUGUGAAUCAUAAUUUUGAUCUUUAGAUUUUGAAAUGGACUUCAUAGAUGAACAAACUGUUUUGGAUUUAUAGAUUUCUUUUUGCAUAGACAAGCUAGCUUUUGUAUGUGUUGGCAAUUGGUACUCCUUCCGUGUUGAUUACAACCUUGUUGAAAGAAGAAAAGCAAGCACAUGCUCAAUCCUUUGAGACAACCAUUUCCUUCUAAUCAAGCAAAGAAGCAUCUAAAGCUAAGUUAGAUGACAUAGCAUAUUCCAAGCAAGCAACAUGAACAGAUUUGCCUUUAUCACGCAAUAUACAAUGUACGUCAUCUCAACCUAAUCUUUUUCUUAAUUUUCCUUGUAUUGUUUACAGUAAUUCAUUCUAGCUUUACAAGCCAAUAACAUUAACUUGCAUGCUCAAGUUAUCUCGGUAAUUACUUGCCCUCUAUACCAAAGGCCUUUAAGGGAAUACAUGGUCGUAGUUACAAAGCACCAAAACAUUCCUUGAUUAAUCGUUUAGGAUCUUGGAAACAUUUCCAAUUCAUCUCCAAAAUGUUUCAGGUUUGUUUUUGUAAUUAAGGAAAAUCAGAAACCAAUUUCCUAUUUGAAAGGAGUUUCCUAGAAAAAAAUGGAAAUGGAAAAUCAACAUUAAGUAGACGUCCUUCAUGGAGUAUGUGUUAUUGUUAUGGAACUUGGGCACUUAUAUUUCAAGAGACUUGAUUCCUUAUUUGAUAUCCUUAGAAGUAUUUUUCUUUUAAUGAUUCGAUUCGUUUUUGUGCGAGAUAGGGCCUUAGCUUAGGAAUUGCAUAUGCAAUCUUAAAUUUAGCACAUUUUACAUGGAAGAUAAUAAUCUCCAUAAACGACCAUAGAUGUAAUGCUAACUUACCUUUUAUAUAGAGUUGCCACACUAUUACUAUCGUGGUAGUAUUUGAGUGGAUAUGUUUUGUCUUAAUUCUUAAGAGCAAUUUCUUUUGCCAUGUUUUGGAAAUUAUGUGAAGUUGAUUGAUGAGGCUAUAGGUUUCAAUUUUUGUAGUUCCUCUUUUUGCUUAUUUGGAUGGAUGUGUUUCGACUUAGUUUGUCAAAAGCAUUAUUUUUCUUUGCCAUGUUUAGGACUCCAAUAAAGUUGAUUUAUAAGGCUAUAGGUUUCUAUUUUCAUAGUUUCUUAUUUGCUCCUCCAAUACACCCCAUUUACUAGGUUCCCUUCAAAUAAAUAUAUUGUUUAAAUGUAGCAUGUUUAUAACAUGCCUACUUGGACCCUACGAAAAAUGUUUGACAUAUAGGAAAUGAUGACAAUUUAAGGUGCACUAAAGUGACGGAGGGUUCCAUUAAGGAUUAGAUGAUAAAACUAGCACCAUCAUCCUUGGAUACAGUAUAUCACGCCAUCAGGAAGCUAUGUUCUCUUUGGAGUUCUUCUUAUAAUAUCCUUUGUAACUAGACAAAUUACCAUUGAACUUCUUUAAUCAAUUAAGCUACAUGCCUAUUUAGGUCUUCAAUGAGAUAUUUCAGCAAGUCCAUCCUUGAAAGAACAUUGGCGUUCAUCUGAUAUUUAGAAGCUGAAUACCGAAUUUCCCAAUUUCAUAGCAAAAUAUUGAGAUGCCUCCCUCCAUUGAUGCACAUAAUUCCAAAGCGAUUGAAAACCAGUGGAAGUAAAGUUGGUGGUCGGUAUAUCUUAGGAGGUAUAAGGAUUGGCAAUUAGGAGUCACAAAUUGGCCUUUAGACUCCCAUCACUAGUUUGAAGUGUUUGAAGACCAUUGCUGGUGGAGUAAAGAAUCAAAAUCAGUCAUUUGCGAUUAAGUUUCAACUAAGAAUUGAAAGUUGAAAUUUCAAAAAAUUAAAGGUUUGAACCUCCCAAGGCCCAUCUCUAGCUGCCAACAGCUAAUAACUAACUACUACAACCAAUCGAAGAAAGCCUAAACUUAUUAAAGACUAUCGCCUAAACCUAUAAAAGACUCUACUCAAUAAAAUCAUGAGCUGGAUAAUAUUCUCAGAGAUAGAUUUCUUCCUAAAAUUGAACUCUUUAUGUCAAAAGACAUGUGCAUAGGCAAAGUGCUUUUUUCAUCAGAUUUUUUCAUCUUUAAUUCAAAAUACAUUACUUUCCUUUAAUUCACUCUAAAAUGAGACAUAACUCCUACAGAGUCUUUGUGUAAGAGUUUUUUGCAUGGCCACUGUUGAACCUGCAUAUAUCUAAUUAAUCACAAACAGAGCAUGAUCAAAAAGCAUAGGGUGCUCAGAAAUCAUUCAAACUGCUCAAACCAAAGGUAAUUGAGCUGAUUCGAACUGUAAACCGUGGUCUUUUACUAAAUGGUUAUUUGGUUUGGUUUGGAUAAAAGUAUAAAGCGCAAGUUUAGUCUGGUUUUAUUAAAUUUUUCAUAUAAUUAAUUAAUAUAUAUCUUUCACAAUAAAUUGACAUAAUUUUAGAAUUUCAUUAUAUUUUUAAUUUCUUUUAUAUAAUUAGAAAAUAAAAAAUGAAUAAAAAUUUGUUGUAAAUCAGAUCUAAAAUGAAAUAUAAAAAGUGAGUACAAAAACUGCUUAAACCUAUCAAACCGCCCAAACCAAACCUAAACUGCUUAUAUAUAACUUAGGUGGUCUGACUACUUUUCACGGUUUAAUUCUGUUCGAACUUUUUUAAGGGCACAUUUAUCGGUUUGGUUUGGACAUCCUAUUCAAACCGAACCAAACCAUAUACACCCUAAUAAAGAGCAUCGUCUCAGCCUCUAGAUAUCAAGGUUUAAUGAUCUCUGUGAUUCUAAAUAUAUUAUUUAUACCCACGCUACAAAGGAUAGCCAAAAAUCAAUCCCAUUCCUCAACAGAAUAAAAUUGCAGU
RNAcentral lists this long non-coding RNA (5488 nucleotides) under Ricinus communis (castor bean). RNAcentral describes it as "long non-coding RNA (RCOM_LNC002321)". The record is from RNAcentral. Lineage: Eukaryota; Viridiplantae; Streptophyta; Magnoliopsida; Malpighiales; Euphorbiaceae.